CCUACGGGAGGCAGCAGUGGGGAAUCUUGCGCAAUGGCCGAGAGGCUGACGCAGCGACGCCGCGUGGGGGAUGAAGCAUUUCGGUGUGUAAACCCCUGUUGCUCGGGACGAACGACCCUUUUCGAGGGGUGUGACGGUACCGAGUGGGGAAGCACCGGCUAACUCCGUGCCAGCAGCCGCGGUAAUACGGAGGGUGCAAGCGUUGUCCGGAAUCACUGGGCGUAAAGGGCGCGUAGGUGGUUAGAUGCGCCGGUGGUGAAAGCGCAGGGCUCAACCCUGCGUCGGCCAUCGGGACGGUCUGACUGGAGCACUGUAGAGGCAGGUGGAAUUCCGGGUGUAGCGGUGGAAUGCGUAGAGAUCCGGAAGAACACCGGUGGCGAAGGCGGCCUGCUGGGCAGUUGCUGACACUGAGGCGCGACAGCGUGGGGAGCAAACAGGAUUAGAUACCCUGGUAGUCCACGCCGUAAACGAUGGGCACUAGGUGCUUGGGGGAGCGACCCCCUGAGUGCCGACGCUAACGCAUUAAGUGCCCCGCCUGGGGAGUACGACCGCAAGGUUGAAACUUACAGAAUUGACGG
RNAcentral lists this ribosomal RNA (578 nucleotides) under uncultured bacterium. Its description in RNAcentral is "bacterial SSU rRNA". It matches the Rfam family "Bacterial small subunit ribosomal RNA", at positions 338 to 916 of the family's 1533-position model. The record is from RNAcentral.